This 224-nucleotide ribosomal RNA is filed under the name uncultured bacterium. RNAcentral describes it as "partial 16S ribosomal RNA". It matches the Rfam family "Bacterial small subunit ribosomal RNA", at positions 524 to 745 of the family's 1533-position model. The record is from RNAcentral.
UACGUAGGGGGCGAGCGUUGUCCGGAGUUGACUGGGCGUAAAGCGCACGCAGGCGGUCUGUUAAGUUUGGAGUGACAGUUGGUGGCUUAACUGCCAAAGUGCUUCGAAAACUGACAGACUUGAGGGCUUCAGAGGGACACGGAAUUCCGGGUGGAGUGGUGAAAUGACGUAGAGAUCCGGAGGAACACCAAAGGCGAAGGCAGUGUCCUGGGGAGUACCUGACG